Ochotona curzoniae (black-lipped pika) is the source of this 1184-nucleotide long non-coding RNA. RefSeq lists it as uncharacterized. The transcript has 3 exons. NCBI's taxonomy places the organism in Eukaryota, Metazoa, Chordata, Mammalia, Lagomorpha, Ochotonidae. The record is from RefSeq and is a predicted model, not a curated record.
GAGUAUCAGCCUGGUGCUAGCUACUCCUGAUGGACCUUUGUGCUGCUGACAUGCCCGCCGGUCCUGGCCAAGGAUGUGGGUCUUCUGCCCACGUGGGAGACUGCAUGGAGUGGGGGCUCCUGCCUUUGUCGUGGCCCAACCCCAGCUGUUGCAGAUGUUUGGGGUUAAAGCAGUGGAGGGCAGAGCAUGCUGUCUCGCCCCCACCCCCUCAGAUCAACCUUCUCAGACGACCGUGCUGACUGGGCUUGCGGCUGGGAUUUCUCUGGGGAUCUUUUGAUUUUGCUUCAGCAUCUUUUUUUCCAAAUUGGGCAACUUGUAUCAACAUAUCCUCAAGUUCAUGGAUGGAUUUGUGAGCUUUCUGCAUUUUAGAUACUGUAUUUUCCAUUUCUGAAUUCCUUUCUCUUUCUGCGGAGUUCUCCACAUGCAGCAUGGUCGUGAGCCACUGUGGAGACCUUACCUGGUGGCGCUCACCCCGGAACGCUGUCGGGAAAGGAAUCUGCCAGUGUGGGGUCCCCGUUCCUGCAGGCCAGUGUAGAACAGUAAAUCAUCCUCAGUGCUAGCCGCCCCUUCAGCAGCCUCUCCAGCCCCGCACUGAGUGGGUGCUGUGACACACAGCCGUGUGUUCCUGUGGUACCCACCAUCUGUGAGCUGGCCCCUGAUGAGCUGCCUCCAGGCACAGUGAAGAGGCGGUGAGCAUGUGCUGGCCUUGGGUGACUUAGCUCCCUGACCCCUGCCCCUGGCUACACCUGGAACAGCCGACUCGGAAGCGGGUGCACGCCUGAGCAGAUGGCUGUGGUAAGCUCGGGCUCGCAGUUUGCUCUUGGCCUGUGUAACCCUGAGCUGGCUUACUCACCCUCUGUGCUACUCACUCUGCCCCUGUCCCCUCUUCCUGGAAGGAACUGUAGAUGCUGGACACGAAGGGUGGCCCCGUGGUAGGGGUUUGUUGGGGAGGCUGGCAAGAGCUGGGCCUGGGGGUGAGGACAGUAGCUGGAGUUCCCGGGGCUCCCCGGCGGGGACACAGGCAGAAUCCCUGGCUUCCCAGCUCUCCCAAUCCACGCCAGCUGCUACAAUCACCUGGGGUUGUGGAGUUUAGGUCCCUGGAGGUCAGGAGUCUCAGCGUGUCUGGCUGUAAAAUGACUUUAGUGGUCAGGGCUCAAGGGAGGGAGGGGAAGCCCCAGCUCAAC